This 115-nucleotide ribosomal RNA is filed under the name Mastacembelus armatus (zig-zag eel). The record is from RNAcentral. Lineage: Eukaryota; Metazoa; Chordata; Actinopteri; Synbranchiformes; Mastacembelidae.
AACAGCCGCACCGGAGUGCGAGUGCCCAAUAGCGUCCGCUCUUGGAAGCUAAGCAGGGCCGUGCCUGAUUAGUACUCGGCAGGAGACCGACUUGGAAGACCAGGUGCCGCUGUCC